CCUACGGGAGGCAGCAGUGAGGAAUAUUGGUCAAUGGCCGGAAGUCUGAACCAGCCAUGCCGCGUGAAGGUCAGUGCCCUAUGGGCGUUAAACUUCUUUUGUGCGGGAGCAAUAAUGGUCACGUGUGGCCAGACGAGAGUACCGUACGAAUAAGCAUCGGCUAAAACCGGGGCAGCAGCCGCGGUAAUACGGGGGAUGCAAGCGUUAUCCGGAGUUCUUGGGUUUAACGGGUGCGUAGGCUGUGAGGUAAGUCAGCGUUGAAAUGCCCCCGCUCAACGGGGUGAAGUGCCAUUGAUACUGCCUGGCUGGAAUGCGGAUGCCGUGGGAGGAAUGUGUGGUGUAGCGGUGAAAUGCAGAGAUAUCACACAGAACACCGAUUGCGAAGGCAUCUCACGAAUCCGCGAUUGACGCUGAUGCACGAAAGCGUGGGUAUCAAACAGGAUUAGAUACCCCAGUAGUC
Molecule: ribosomal RNA, 460 nt
Filed under: uncultured bacterium
Lineage: Bacteria
Description: partial 16S ribosomal RNA
Rfam family: Bacterial small subunit ribosomal RNA
Source: RNAcentral